CUGUAGUCGUGUCCCUUUCUCUUGAGGUUACUAGUCCGUGUUUGAUUCGGUGUGGUUACUUUCUGCCGCUGCGUUACUUUACAGCUACAGUGUGUCAUGUUAUCUUCUGUGACUCUUUUUAGAGAGUAACCUUGCUUGAGUGCACCAAUGAAUGUGUUAGUGUUUUGAUCGUGAAGUCACAAUAGCAAGCACACGCAUGGCUCGUUUUAAAGCUAUGUGUAUCGUGGAAGCUAUUCUGCGGCAAGGAGACAGAAAACGAUGUGUUUCAGAGAGUUGUAGGGAUAUUCCAAGAGGAUUCCAGUUGUAUUGUUGAAAAUUCACUAUCUCCACAGGUUUCCUUGAAGGAGAAAUCUGAGAAGGUUUUGGAGUUGCUUGGACUAGGAGGUUCAGAAGGGAGCCGACAUACAACAGGGUCCGGCCCUAAUCCACCGCCACCGACUUCUCAACAAGCCGUGGUGUUGCCCGAUCAUAUGGAUGGUUGGGAUGCACCCGAAGGAGUUGAUGAUGAACAGGUGAAUCAGCUUUCUCUAGUUUUAUUCUGAAUACCUAUCUGAACCUAUCUGAAGGGAACUCUAUUUGAAUGCAGAGCAGUGGGAAGAUAUCUGACCAAGUAGAGAUUUUAAUCAAAGCUGGUGGUGGAUCCUUAGCAUCAGCUGCUUCUGAUGUCUUGUUAGGAGGUCUUGGUUGGAAGGGUACAGCGAAACCAUCGGUUGAGACCACUGCUAGAAGUACGGGAGCUGAAAGCUGCAGUGCAUCUCUUGGAAACAUUUUUUACAUAUUAAUAUGAUCAAUUCUCAAACAAUAUAGUGUGUGUGCAAGAGUGACAUCAAGAGUCACAACUCUUGGUUUAAGUUCACAAUUAAUGGGUAGUAUUCUAUACUAUAGAUUAGUAUACUAUACUAAAUAUCUCUCCUAAUACUCCCACCAAAACACUAGUUUUCAUUUGUGUAAUAAAUUUCAUCCAUAACAGAAGGUCAUCUGUUUUUGAACAGAUAUAUGUGAGAAAUUUAGAGUUUCAAUCUCUUUCUGAUGUGGCAAUGUUGGAGAGUUCUCUUGUAGUUCUCUCACUGCUUCUUCAAUUCUAUGAAGGUAUGUGAUGUCUUCUCUUGAUUUGGAUGUGUUUGUUGUUUUGUUUGUUGCAGUGCUGUGGUUGGCCCUCCAUACAAGUAUUGUUGCAGGCUUGGGUGGAAGAGCAAAGAAUACCACCGGUGAAGGCACGAAGGCAUGUGCCAUUGAGGAGGUUGGCCAUUGAUAGUUGCGGUGAGCUUGUGGAGAGGUGCAAAGGUACACAUCAUUGUAGAAGUUUGGCUGUAAACUUUGUAACAGGCUAGGUGGCAAUUCCGCCAGCAACAUGAGCGGUAGACUUUGCUAUGAACUCCGCAGUAAGACAGCAGCGGGCUCCUUAGUAGGCGCAACUACGAGUUCCUUAGUAGUUAUUGCGGUGACAAGCUUUACAGUAGGUGUGACUGCAAGUUGCGCAGCAAGGCGGCGGCAUGUACCAACCUAGAUUGUCUCCCACUCCAAUUGUGUAAUUUUUGAUUAUUUUAAAUAAACCAGUAAGGCUCAAAUAGUGGUAGAACAAUUAACUUC
This is a non-coding RNA of Physcomitrium patens, 1590 nucleotides long. The record is from RefSeq and is a predicted model, not a curated record. Lineage: Eukaryota; Viridiplantae; Streptophyta; Bryopsida; Funariales; Funariaceae.